This 472-nucleotide ribosomal RNA is filed under the name uncultured Actinomycetes bacterium. Its description in RNAcentral is "bacterial SSU rRNA". It matches the Rfam family "Bacterial small subunit ribosomal RNA", at positions 94 to 578 of the family's 1533-position model. Lineage: Bacteria; Bacillati; Actinomycetota; Actinomycetes. The record is from RNAcentral.
AGUGGCGAACGGGUGAGUAACACGUGAGAAACCUGCCCCGGAGAUCGGGAUAGCCCAGGGAAACCUGGAUUAAUACCGAAUAUCCUCGAAUGGUCGCAUGGCCGAUCGAGGAAAUGGUCCGCCGCUCCGGGAUGGUCUCGCGUCCUAUCAGCUAGUUGGUGAGGUAAUGGCUCACCAAGGCAACGACGGGUAGCUGGUCUGAGAGGACGAUCAGCCACACUGGGACCGAGACACGGCCCAGACUCCUACGGGAGGCAGCAGCAGGGAAUUUUGCACAAUGGGCGCAAGCCUGAUGCAGCGACGCCGCGUGGGGGAUGAAUGCCUUCGGGUUGUAAACCCCUUUCAGGAGGGACGAAGCGAAAGUGACGGUACCUCCAGAAGAAGCCCCGGCCAACUACGUGCCAGCAGCCGCGGUAAUACGUAGGGGGCGAGCGUUGUCCGGAUUUAUUGGGCGUAAAGAGCUCGUAGGCGG